CCAGACUCCUACGGGAGGCAGCAGUGGGGAAUAUUGCACAAUGGGGGAAACCCUGAUGCAGCGACGCCGCGUGAGUGAAGAAGUAUUUCGGUAUGUAAAGCUCUAUCAGCAGGGAAGAAAAUGACGGUACCUGAUUAAGAAGCCCCGGCUAACUACGCGCCAGCAGCCGCGGUAAUACGUAGGGGGCAAGCGUUAUCCGGAUUUACUGGGUGUAAAGGGAGCGUAGACGGCAGCGCAAGUCUGAAGUGAAAUGCCGGGGCUUAACCCCGGAACUGCUUUGGAAACUGUGGAGCUAGAGUGCAGGAGAGGUAAGCGGAAUUCCUGGUGUAGCGGGGAAAUGCGUAGAUAUCAGGAGGAACCCCCGUGGCGAAGGCGGCUUACUGGACUGUAACUGACGUUGAGGCUCGAAAGCGUGGGG
This 418-nucleotide ribosomal RNA is filed under the name uncultured bacterium. RNAcentral's name for it is "bacterial SSU rRNA". It matches the Rfam family "Bacterial small subunit ribosomal RNA", at positions 331 to 766 of the family's 1533-position model. The record is from RNAcentral.